GCGUUGUCCGGAAUUAUUGGGCGUAAAGAGCGAGCAGGCGGUCAUACAAGUCAGAGGUGAAAUAGGCUGGCUUAACCAGGAGCGGUCGUCUGAGACUGUAAGACUAGAGUGCAGGAGAGGAAAGCGGAAUUCCCGGUGUAGUGGUGAAAUGCGUAGAUAUCGGGAGGAACACCAGAGGCGAAGGCGGCUUUCUGGCCUGUAACUGACGCUGAGGCGCGAAGGCUGG
RNAcentral lists this ribosomal RNA (226 nucleotides) under uncultured bacterium. Its description in RNAcentral is "partial 16S ribosomal RNA". It matches the Rfam family "Bacterial small subunit ribosomal RNA", at positions 538 to 763 of the family's 1533-position model. The record is from RNAcentral.